AUUCUUUCUUUUUCUUUAUCCAAUUUAUCUAAUUUGCUACUUGCUCCUUUCUCCUCACUGCCCCCUCUUUUCCUUUCGUAUUCUGAACGAGAACAUCACUCCCUUCUAUCACUGGGCACCACCGCUUGAUCUUCGAGUUUAACAAAUAAACCACUUUCGGUGACUAACACCGGCAGCGAAGCAGGGAUAGCGCCUCUCCCUUCACUGAUCCACGAUCUGCCUUCUCAUCCAACACGAACAUUUACUUUCAAGAUGGGAGAGCUGGUUACUGACAAGCACGUGAAAUAUAUAUUAUCAGUUGAAAAGAGAAAAGAUGAUUUUGAAUCUGUGGUGAUGGAGCAUCUAAGAAUGAACGGGGCAUACUGGGGUUUGACUGCUCUGGAUUUGAUGGGAAAGCUUGACGUUGUGGAUGUUAAUGAGGUUGUUUCAUGGGUAAUGAGUUGUCAGCAUGAUUCAGGGGGAUUUGGCGGAAAUGUUGGACAUGACCCACACAUCUUGUAUACACUGAGUGCAGUGCAGGUGUUGGCUCUCUUUGACAAGAUGGAUCUUAUUGAUGCAGAUAAGGUGACAAAUUAUAUUGUUGGCCUGCAAAAUGAAGAUGGAUCUUUUUCAGGAGAUAUGUGGGGUGAAGUUGAUACACGGUUCUCCUAUAUUGCUAUCUGUUGUCUUUCAAUAAUACAUCGCUUGGAUAAAAUCAAUGUGGAAAAGGCUGUGAAUUACAUUAUAAGUUGCAAAAAUAUGGAUGGUGGUUUUGGUUGCACACCGGGUGGGGAAUCUCAUGCUGGCCAAAUUUUCUGUUGUGUGGGAGCUCUCGCUCUUACGGGGUCAUUAGAUCUGGUUAACAAGGACUUACUUGGUUGGUGGUUAUGUGAGCGACAAGUUAAAUCUGGAGGUCUGAAUGGGCGUCCUGAGAAACUCCCUGAUAUCAUCCCAGGUCUGCUAUUCAUGGUGGGUUCUUUCUAGCCUGAUCAUGAUCGAUAGGGUUCACUGGAUCAGUAGUGAGAAACUUAUAAAAUUUAUCUUAGACUGUCAGGACAAGGAAAAAGGUGGAAUUUCAGACAGGCCAGAUGAUGCUGUGGAUGUCUUCCAUACCUACUUUGGGGUAGCUGGGCUUUCACUACUUGAAUAUCCCGGCCUAAAACCAAUAGAUCCAGCUUAUGCUUUACCUGUUGAUGUUGUAAAUCGGAUUUUCUUUAAAAAAUAAAGGACUUGGAAGUUCAACUACUGUUCAGUAACGAGUCUUAAGACUCGCUUUUGGCAGUUGAUAUAGUGUUAUUUCCCCUCUUACUUGAACAUCAUCAGAUUUGUGAUUACCCUUUAUAUCUCCUUUUGAUAACAUGUACGCAUCUUCUGAUAAAAUUACUGCAAAGUUUUGACAUUGCAAUAGAUUUUUAAAUCUUAAAUUA
This is an RNA transcript of Arachis stenosperma, 1406 nucleotides long. It is a transcript of the gene named geranylgeranyl transferase type-2 subunit beta 1-like, with no coding region annotated. NCBI's taxonomy places the organism in Eukaryota, Viridiplantae, Streptophyta, Magnoliopsida, Fabales, Fabaceae. The record is from RefSeq and is a predicted model, not a curated record. The transcript is spliced from 10 exons.